AGCAGCCGCGGUAAUUCCAGCUCCAAUAGCGUAUAUUAAAGUUGCUGCAGUUAAAAAGCUCGUAGUUGAAUUUCGGGACCAAUAUGUCGGUCGUGCCUCGGUACGUACUGGCAUCGUUGGUUUCUCCUUUCUGAAGAACCAUGAUGUCAUUUAUUUGGUGUCGUGGGGAAUCAGGACUGUUACUUUGAAAAAUUAGAGUGUUUAAAGCAGGCUCACGCUUGAAUACAUUAGCAUGGAAUAAUGAAAUAGGACGUUUGAUUCUAUUUUGUUGGUUUCUAGGAUCGACGUAAUGAUUAAUAGGGAUAGUUGGGGGCAUUAGUAUUCAAUUGUCAGAGGUGAAAUUCUUGGAUUUAUUGAAGACUAACUACUGCGAAAGCAUUUGCCAAGGAUGUUUUCAUUAAUCAAGAACGAAAGUUAGGGGAUCGAAGACGAUCAGAUACCGUCGUAGUCUUAACCAUAAACUAUGCCGACUAGGGAUCGGAUGAUGUUAAUUUUUAAUGUACUCAUUCGGCGUACCCG
RNAcentral lists this ribosomal RNA (519 nucleotides) under uncultured Glomus. RNAcentral describes it as "SSU rRNA". It matches the Rfam family "Eukaryotic small subunit ribosomal RNA", at positions 569 to 1089 of the family's 1831-position model. The record is from RNAcentral. Lineage: Eukaryota; Fungi; Glomeromycota; Glomeromycetes; Glomerales; Glomeraceae.